AGUGGCAGACGGGUGAGUAACACGUGGGAACAUACCCUUCGGUUCGGAAUAACUCAGGGAAACUUGUGCUAAUACCGGAUACGUCAGUGAUGAGAAAGAUUUAUCGCCGAAGGAUUGGCCCGCGUCUGAUUAGCUAGUUGGUGAGGUAAUGGCUCACCAAGGCGACGAUCAGUAGCUGGUCUGAGAGGAUGACCAGCCACAUUGGGACUGAGACACGGCCCAAACUCCUACGGGAGGCAGCAGUGGGGAAUAUUGGACAAUGGGCGCAAGCCUGAUCCAGCCAUGCCACGUGAGUGAUGAAGGCCUUAGGGUUGUAAAGCUCUUUUACUCGGGAAGAUAGUGACGGUACCGAGAGAAUAAGCCCCGGCUAACUUCGUGCCAGCAGCCGCGGUAAUACGAAGGGGGCUAGCGUUGUUCGGAAUUACUGGGCGUAAAGCGCACGUAGGCGGAUCUUUAAGUCAGAGGUGAAAUCCCAAGGCUCAACCUUGGAACUGCCUUUGA
Molecule: ribosomal RNA, 501 nt
Filed under: uncultured bacterium
Lineage: Bacteria
Description: bacterial SSU rRNA
Rfam family: Bacterial small subunit ribosomal RNA
Source: RNAcentral